CCUACGGGUGGCUGCAGUGGGGAAUAUUGGACAAUGGGCGAAAGCCUGAUCCAGCCAUGCCGCGUGUGUGAAGAAGGCCUUCGGGUUGUAAAGCACUUUCAGUGGGGAAGAAAGCCUUGGGGCUAAUACCCUCGAGGAAGGACAUCACCCACAGAAGAAGCACCGGCUAACUCCGUGCCAGCAGCCGCGGUAAUACGGAGGGUGCGAGCGUUAAUCGGAAUUACUGGGCGUAAAGCGCGCGUAGGCGGUCUGAUAAGCCGGUUGGGAAAGCCCCGGGCUCAACCUGGGAACGGCAUCCGGAACUGUCAGGCUAGAGUGCAGGAGAGGAAGGUAGAAUUCCCGGUGUAGCGGUGAAAUGCGUAGAGAUCGGGAGGAAUACCAGUGGCGAAGGCGGCCUUCUGGACUGACACUGACGCUGAGGUGCGAAAGCGUGGGUAGCAAACAGGAUUAGAUACCCUAGUAGU
This 464-nucleotide ribosomal RNA is filed under the name Vreelandella stevensii. Its description in RNAcentral is "partial 16S ribosomal RNA". It matches the Rfam family "Bacterial small subunit ribosomal RNA", at positions 338 to 794 of the family's 1533-position model. The record is from RNAcentral. Lineage: Bacteria; Pseudomonadati; Pseudomonadota; Gammaproteobacteria; Oceanospirillales; Halomonadaceae.